UGAACGUCGCCAACAUGUUGCACAGAGGGCAUGCAGCCUGGUCCAUCCUCCAGUGACCAGUCCUCCUCCACGGUUAAUUACGCCAUGAUAAGGUUUAAAGCUUGCUGGACGUACUGCGACUGCGUUUAUGGCGCUGCGGCACACCUGCGGCGGUCGCAGGCUCCGCGGACUGCAAAGUGAUUCGAUGAUGACCGGUGGAUCUCCCUUGCAGCCUUGCAGGUCGACAAGAUCAGAAAAAUAAAAGGUAGAAGGUGCCCGUACGUGCCGGGUCUAGGAUUCCACAGGUUUGCUCGGGGCUGAGGAGGUCGAGCCAUUUCCUUUCCACCUUCAGUUUUCAGACGAUCGGCGACGCAAGUCAGCGACAGGACCACCAGAUGCCGGCGGACGCCCGAUCGAUAUAUGUAGCGCGGGUUUGCCGGAGAUCUUGUCCCUUCUGUUCUGAAUCUGGAUGGU
RNAcentral lists this long non-coding RNA (453 nucleotides) under Zea mays. RNAcentral's name for it is "long non-coding RNA (ZMAY_LNC003505)". Lineage: Eukaryota; Viridiplantae; Streptophyta; Magnoliopsida; Poales; Poaceae. The record is from RNAcentral.